This 492-nucleotide ribosomal RNA is filed under the name uncultured bacterium. RNAcentral's name for it is "partial 16S ribosomal RNA". It matches the Rfam family "Bacterial small subunit ribosomal RNA", at positions 29 to 507 of the family's 1533-position model. The record is from RNAcentral.
AGUGAACGCUGGCGGUAGGCCUAACACAUGCAAGUCGAACGGCAGCACAGUAAGAGCUUGCUCUUACGGGUGGCGAGUGGCGGACGGGUGAGGAAUACAUCGGAAUCUACUUUUUCGUGGGGGAUAACGUAGGGAAACUUACGCUAAUACCGCAUACGACCUACGGGUGAAAGCAGGGGAUCUUCGGACCUUGCGCGAUUGAAUGAGCCGAUGUCGGAUUAGCUAGUUGGCGGGGUAAAGGCCCACCAAGGCGACGAUCCGUAGCUGGUCUGAGAGGAUGAUCAGCCACACUGGAACUGAGACACGGACCAGACUACUACGGGAGGCAGCAGUGGGGAAUAUUGGACAAUGGGCGCAAGCCUGAUCCAGCCAUACCGCGUGGGUGAAGAAGGCCUUCGGGUUGUAAAGCCCUUUUGUUGGGAAAGAAAAGCAGCAGGUUAAUACCCCGCUGUUCUGACGGUACCCAAAGAAUAAGCACCGGCUAACUUCGUG